UCCUACGGGACGCAGCAGUCGGGAAUAUUGCGCAAUGGAGGAAACUCUGACGCAGUGACGCCGCGUAUGGGAAGAAGGUUUUCGGAUUGUAAACCAUUGUCGUUAGGGAAGAAGAAGUGACAGUACCUAAGGAGGAAGCCCCGGCUAACUACGUGCCAGCAGCCGCGGUAAUACGUAGGGGGCAAGCGUUAUCCGGAAUUAUUGGGCGUAAAGAGUACGUAGGUGGCAACCUAAGCGCAGGGUUUAAGGCAAUGGCUCAACCAUUGUUCGCCCUGCGAACUGGGAUGCUUGAGUGCAGGAGAGGA
Molecule: ribosomal RNA, 305 nt
Filed under: uncultured bacterium
Lineage: Bacteria
Description: bacterial SSU rRNA
Rfam family: Bacterial small subunit ribosomal RNA
Source: RNAcentral